CAGACUGGGAAAGCCUGCAGCUGGGCGGGAUGAUUUUUGGAGGGCUCCUGUGCAUCGCUGGAAUCCUGAUAGCCCUGAGUGGAAAAUGCAAGUGCAAGUACAGUCAGAAGCACAGCCCCUUACCUGAGAAGGCCAUUCCACUCAUCACUCCAGGCUCUGCCAGUACCUGCUGAGCACAGGACCAGCUUCGUGGCACUCUUGGUACCAGCUCCCAUACUGUUUUCUCCCCACCUGGGGGCCUUACCCUUCAUGAUGGCCUUUUUCCCCCAGGGUGGGCCCUUAAGUUCCCUUCUGAUCAGGAGGCUGUCCAAAGCUUAUUUCUAAAUUAAACUGUCUCAUCCCUCCC
Callorhinus ursinus (northern fur seal) is the source of this 346-nucleotide non-coding RNA. The record is from RefSeq and is a predicted model, not a curated record. Lineage: Eukaryota; Metazoa; Chordata; Mammalia; Carnivora; Otariidae.